AACACUUAUUUACACCUGUUAGUGCAGGGGGACGUCCGCUAAUCCUCCUUAACGCAAGACGACAGGGGAAACGUACGCCGUUGCACUGGUCGUGACACGCAGUGAAAGAGCUCUGCCAGGGUGAGCGAGGUAGAGACUACAAAAAAAAAAGAAAAUCGGGUGUCUUUUGCAGGAUUUCAUUAAGUAUUUUCCACACUGGGGCAAGCUUUGUCUCUCAAAGAGCAGGCAGCUGUUUGGAUGCACGGUGAAAGCAGAAAGGAAAACACGGCUCCAAAUUUCCUGUUACUUUUUCUGUUCAGAAGUGGUGAAAUUGGACUGGAGAUCCAAUCUUUUGAACAUUGGCAGCAUGAAAGAGAUGGAGAGCGCUAUUAGCAGUUUUAAGCCAGACCAUCUGCUUUGACUCCAGGGUGUUUGAUCUUUUUCUUGCUAGAAAAACGUUUUGAAAAAGUCUUCUGAUUAUUCCCCAUUACACCAAAUAAAUUUUUGCAUUAUUCUC
This is a long non-coding RNA of Aptenodytes forsteri (emperor penguin), 496 nucleotides long. RefSeq lists it as uncharacterized. The record is from RefSeq and is a predicted model, not a curated record. The transcript has 3 exons. NCBI's taxonomy places the organism in Eukaryota, Metazoa, Chordata, Aves, Sphenisciformes, Spheniscidae.